UUUUAUUUUUUUAAAUUGGCAUAUUAAAUCUUUUGCAGGACUGAAUCCUUGAUGUUGUUGAGGAACAAGGGGGGCUGCUUGCUGUGUGUUUAUGUAUUCAGCAGUGAGUGUGGUAUUUAGUAGUCAGUGUAUGUGUUCAGCAGUCUGUGUGUGUGUAUUCAGCAGUCUGUGUGUGUGUAUUCAGCAGUGUGUGCGUGUAUUCAGCAGUAUGUGUGUGUGUGUAUUCAGCAGUUAGUGUAUGUGUUCUGC
Non-coding RNA from Pelobates cultripes (western spadefoot toad), 249 nucleotides. Lineage: Eukaryota; Metazoa; Chordata; Amphibia; Anura; Pelobatidae. The record is from the annotation of a GenBank genome assembly.